RNAcentral lists this transfer RNA (72 nucleotides) under Schistocerca americana (American grasshopper). RNAcentral describes it as "tRNA-Cys". It matches the Rfam family "tRNA". Rfam says of the family: Transfer RNA (tRNA) molecules are approximately 80 nucleotides in length. Their secondary structure includes four short double-helical elements and three loops (D, anti-codon, and T loops). Lineage: Eukaryota; Metazoa; Arthropoda; Insecta; Orthoptera; Acrididae. The record is from RNAcentral.
GGGGGUAUAGCUCAGUCGUAGAACAUUCGACUGCAGAUCGAGAGGUCACCGGUUCAAUCCCGGGUGCCCCCU